UCCUGCGAAAGCCUCUUACAGAUCGCUCAUAUUGGGUUUAACACUGGAGGCAAAAUUAAUCCAUUGUUUGGGAUCGGGAGGAGUUCUCGCUGGGUUUCAACUGCCACAAGGAGUUUCCUUAUCACAGCUGAAUUUGAAUGGGGAGCAGAGAGCAGCUGUUCACCCUAGCCGGAAGGGAGAUGUCGAAACCUGUUGUACGGACUUAGGUUUAAGAAAUUCUCUUCUUAAGCACCCUAAAAUGUCUGUGCCGUUAUAGGUUGCACGUAGUGGGACAGCUGAGAUCCUGACCCCACUGGAAAAUCAAAAAAUGUCAGAGGAUCAUUGCCAG
Molecule: non-coding RNA, 328 nt
Organism: Chelonoidis abingdonii (Abingdon island giant tortoise)
Lineage: Eukaryota; Metazoa; Chordata; Testudines; Testudinidae
Source: RefSeq, a predicted model, not a curated record